This 484-nucleotide ribosomal RNA is filed under the name uncultured bacterium. RNAcentral describes it as "partial 16S ribosomal RNA". It matches the Rfam family "Bacterial small subunit ribosomal RNA", at positions 30 to 507 of the family's 1533-position model. The record is from RNAcentral.
AUUGAACGCUGGCGGCAGGCCUAACACAUGCAAGUCGAGCGGAUGAAGGGAGCUUGCUCCUGGAUUCAGCGGCGGACGGGUGAGUAAUGCCUAGGAAUCUGCCUGGUAGUGGGGGAUAACGUCCGGAAACGGGCGCUAAUACCGCAUACGUCCUGAGGGAGAAAGUGGGGGAUCUUCGGACCUCACGCUAUCAGAUGAGCCUAGGCCGGAUUAGCUAGUUGGUGGGGUAAAGGCCUACCAAGGCGACGAUCCGUAACUGGUCUGAGAGGAUGAUCAGUCACAUGGGAACUGAGACACGGUCCAGGCUCCUACGGGAGGCAGCAGUGUGCAAUGUUGGGCACUGGGCGAAAACCUGGAACAGCGAUGCCACGUGUGUGGAGAAGGUCUUCGGAUUGUAAAGCACUUUAAGUUGGGAGGAAGGGCAGUAAGUUAAUACCUUGCUGUUUUGACGUUACCAACAGAAUAAGCACCGGCUAACUUCGUG